Molecule: ribosomal RNA, 462 nt
Filed under: uncultured bacterium
Lineage: Bacteria
Description: bacterial SSU rRNA
Rfam family: Bacterial small subunit ribosomal RNA
Source: RNAcentral
AAUCAACGCUGGCGGCGUGCCUAACACAUGCAAGUCGAACGAGAAAGUGGAGCAAUCCAUGAGUAAAGUGGCGCACGGGUGAGUAACACGUGACUAACCUACCCUUGAGUGGGGGAUAACCUAGGGAAACCUGGGCUAAUACCGCAUAAUACCUACGGGUCAAAGGAGCAAUUCGCUUUAGGAGGGGGUCGCGGCAGAUUAGUUUGUUGGCGGGGUAAUGGCCCACCAAGACGAUGANCUGUAUCCGGCCUGAGAGGGCGCACGGACACACUGGAACUGAAACACGGUCCAGACUCCUACGGGAGGCAGCAGUGGGAAUUUUGCGCAAUGGGGAAACCCUGACGCAGCAACGCCGCGUGGAGGAUGAAGACCCUUGGGUCGUAAACUCCUUUCGAUCGGGACGAUAAUGACGGUACCGGAAGAAGAAGCCCCGGCUAACUUCGUGGCAGCAGCCGCGGUAAC